UAAAAAAUUUUGGCGGUAUUUUAAGCUUAUUAGAGGAAUUUGCUCUGUGAUGGACACAACGCCUUAAUCUUACUUAAUUUAGUAAUUUAAAUCAGUUUGUAUACCACUAUAUUAAUUAUAUUGAAUAGUUAUAUUUAAAAUUUUUUAAAAAAAAUAUAUUAAGUCAAGGUGCAUCUAAUAAUUAUGAAUGAAGUGAAUUACAUUAAUUUUAAUGUAAUUUUUUACAUGAAAAAAUUAAUUAGGAUUUAAUAGUAAAAUACUAAUAUUAUGAGUAUUUGAAUCAAGCUCUAAAAUAUGCACAUAUCGCCCGUCGCUCUCAGAAGUGAGAUAAGUCGUAACAAAGUAAAAAUACUGGAAAGUGUUUUUUAAAAUGAAAUCAUUCGAUGUUUCAUUUACAAUGAAAAUUUUGUUGUUUAACCAUUUUAA
RNAcentral lists this ribosomal RNA (426 nucleotides) under Ixodes scapularis (black-legged tick). Its description in RNAcentral is "partial 12S ribosomal RNA". The record is from RNAcentral. Lineage: Eukaryota; Metazoa; Arthropoda; Arachnida; Ixodida; Ixodidae.